UACGGGGGGGGCAAGCGUUGUUCGGAAUUACUGGGCGUAAAGGGCUCGUAGGCGGCCAACUAAGUCGGAUGUGAAAUCCCCAGGCUUAACCUGGGAACUGCAUCCGAUACUGGAUGGCUUGAAUCCGGGGAGAGGGAUGCAGAACUCCAGGUGUAGCGGUGAAAUGCGUAGAUAUCUGGAGGAAUACCGGUGGCGAAGGCGGCAUCCUGGACCGGCAUUGACGCUGAGGAGCGAAAGCGUGGGGAGCGAACAGG
Molecule: ribosomal RNA, 254 nt
Filed under: uncultured bacterium
Lineage: Bacteria
Description: partial 16S ribosomal RNA
Rfam family: Bacterial small subunit ribosomal RNA
Source: RNAcentral